RNAcentral lists this ribosomal RNA (467 nucleotides) under uncultured bacterium. RNAcentral's name for it is "partial 16S ribosomal RNA". It matches the Rfam family "Bacterial small subunit ribosomal RNA", at positions 28 to 507 of the family's 1533-position model. The record is from RNAcentral.
GAUGAACGCUGGCGGCGUGCUUAACACAUGCAAGUCGAACGGAAAGGCCCAAGCUUGCUUGGGUUCUCGAGUGGCGAACGGGUGAGUAACACGUGGGUGAUCUUCCCUGCACUUCGGGAUAAGCCUGGGAAACUGGGUCUAAUACCGGAUAGGACGAUGGUUUGGAUGCCAUUGUGGAAAGUUUUUUCGGUGUGGGAUGAGCUCGCGGCCUAUCAGCUUGUUGGUGGGGUAAUGGCCUACCAAGGCGUCGACGGGUAGCCGGCCUGGGAGGGUGUACGGCCACAUUGGGUCUUAGAGACGGCCCAGACUCCUACGGGAGGCAGCAGGGGGGAAUAUUGCACAAUGGGCGCAAGCCGGAUGCAGCGACGCCGCGUGGGGGAAGACGGCCUUCGGGUUGUAAACUCCCUUCGCUAGGGACGAAGCGUUUUGUGACGGUACUUGGAGAAGAAGCACCGGCUAACUACGUG